AAAUGAGCUAUCCUUUCUCCUCUAGAAGAGCUGAAACAUAGUGAUCCUAUCAUUAGUCUCAGCUUUGUAAAUAUGCAGAAAGCCUCAAUAUUCAGCUGAGAUGGGAGGUGGGGUUCAGAUCCACACAGGGGCUGUCCAUACCAGGAUAUUUUUCAGCCUUCCUCCCUGAGGCAUCUGAUACUGCUUACAACCAGAAGCACGACUUGAGGCACAUGAGCUGUGAGGUAGGAGGAGAUCAGGGCCUCAUCUCUGCAACCAGGGAUGAGCUGUUCUGCCCCUCAAUGACCCAUUUUCGCUUCCCCCCCUUUCUCUUUUGCCAGUGUAAAAUGCAGGCUUCUUGAGGCCUCAGCUUGCUCGUUCACGCUGCACUCAGGCUGUGAUCCACCAUGUGCUACCAUGAUACAAAUAAUUGCUUUCAUGCUUUUUAAAAAACAGGCCCAAAAAUAUAACUGUUUAGACAAAAUACAUUGGGAAGAAGCUCUCAAGAUUUGACCCUUCCAGGAAAGCAAAUGCGUGUCUGUUUAUUGACCAUGUGAAGAGCAGUGCUGAGGGGAUGGACAUUCAUGAAGGGGCACAUUCUUAAAGCUUUACUUCUUCCUUUUAUUUUUUUUUUUUCCUGACAUUUACAGUGUUUUGUACUCUCUGGCAACCAGCAGAGCUCCACUGAUGCUGACUAGCAGAGCCCAUAGAGAUACUAAGGAAAUAUUUUUCCUAGCAACAAGCGUCACACAAAAACAUGAAGAAACGCUUCCCCUGCUCAUAUUUCCUUUCAAUUUUUUCAGUCAUCUGGUGCUGAGAUAAGAGCUGCGUGGUGAAACCUGCUGCUAGUUUGUGUUUCGCAGGCAAUCUGGAGCACUGAGGAACACGCCAGGCCUGCCAUUAGAGCAGCGUGCAGCCUAAGAUGGCAGCCGUGCCAGCCAUGCUGAAAAUGUGUGCAGAUGUGAAGCCAACAGCAGCAGCAGAAAGGCUUUGUCAACACCAGCAAAUCACUGAUUCUACCUCUGCAAGGUCAGCUUCUGAAGGCAACGUGUCUAAGACCACAGCUCCACAACCGACCUAAAGGAGUGCUGAACCCGUGUGCUUCACAGUGGUUAACCAGGAAGAGGAGGAAGGAUUGUCCUGUUGUGAGUAUUAUUAGGAGUGUUCCAGACAGUUUGUAACGUCGUCAUUGCUGUACCCAGACCUCAGGGCUGGAGCCCUAGAUUAAAAUUGUAUGUGUUUUACUUUUUCUUUUUUCCAGAAACACAAACACUGCUGUUAAAUGCAGUUGUUACAGGAUAUUUGAUAUUCAUCGAAUAAGUUACUAAGAAAUGAAUUGAACUCCCCUAGGCUGAAGAAAAAAAAAAAAAGAACUGAAUUAGGUACAAAUUAGGAGCUUUUGCAUACGGUUCUCAGUAUAUAGUAAGGAAAAAAUUUGCAUCAGAGGCAUUUAUUGUUAAGUUAAAACUGUCCAGAGUGUGCUGAUUACAAAGUCCAUUUUACUGAAAAAGAUAAAAAUAUUGGCAGUGACUGGAAGGUAUGAAAAUAAAUGUAUUAAUAACUCCA
Molecule: long non-coding RNA, 1545 nt
Filed under: Phasianus colchicus (ring-necked pheasant)
Lineage: Eukaryota; Metazoa; Chordata; Aves; Galliformes; Phasianidae
Description: lncRNA (ENSPCLG00000006451.1)
Source: RNAcentral